UAUUUCAAAUUUAUUGAUUUUAGUGGUCAAAAUGCAAAAUUUAUAAUUUCAGUGGUCGAAAUGUGAAUCGCCCAAGAGUUCUGAUUCCUUCUGUUCAUAUCGCCAUGGAAAUACAGUCUGCACGCAUCCAAAUUUUGUACAAGAACCUCAUUAAUAGAGAAGUUGCAAGGAAAUACAAUAAAAUAAAUUUUCCUGUUACGGAGUCAGCGACUCCAAAUGCACAAAUAAUCCAUUUUUCUGCUCUUUAUCAAUACUUUGGGUAAAAAAAGGACUAAUUAAUAUUGCUGAUUUUGACAACAUGUAUUUUACAUGUAUGUGCAUGUGCGCACAUGAUAGACUGGUGUAAGGUCCAUGCAAUAAAAGAAAACAUAUUACAGUGGAUCUGUCUUGAUAAAAAGUUGGUAAUUACAAAGCCUGGUAAUAAUUAGUGAACAUAUUUGUUAGUGUUCCACUAUGCAUUUACGUAGGUGCACACUGAAUGGGGCUGGUGCUUCUCCAGUUCGUCCACGUGAGUUACAUACAGCAUGGGCAAUGUCACACAAAUACUUAACACAAAUCUAACCUCUUGCUUUUCGUAAUCCUCUAACAAUGGUUCUGGCAACACCUCACAACUCCAGUCCUCAUCCUCAUCACGUACUCCACAUUACACCGCCCACCCUCUGCCUCAAUCACAACUCUUCCUUUCUACCACACAUUCUCACCUUCAUCAUCCAACUACAGAUACUCAACCAUACACCCUAUUACAUCUGUCACAAUCACAUCCUUCUCUUCCAAGUCAUUCUUCAUUAAGUCUUCCAACACCUGUUCUUUGCCAUACCAAUGAUGGUUGUAUCAGAAAGGUGUAUCAAUCUAUUUCACUUCUUUCAUUUCAAAUUUAUUAAUUUUAGUGGUCAAAAUACAAAAUUUAGAAUCAGCUCAAUAUACGUGUAUGUUUCAUUUUUCUCAAAAGUUGAAAUAGUCGACAAUUCGUUGAGCAGUUUGGAAUGUUUGCAUUGCACACUGUUUGGUACCAUGAUGGCAUGGACCUACAUGUAUAUGGAAAAGUCAAGCCAGAGUGUAACUCUAGUUUGGUAUUACUCUGGCAUGACUCAUUCGUAGGUCAGCGAGUUUCUCCAGCAGGCAUCGGUUUACGCCAGUAUCCAUACCAUAGAGAUUCUUCACAUAAGCUGCAGUAAAUAAAUCAAAUAAAUGAACAUACAAAUUAAAAAUUGUUCUAGGCACUUCAGCCUGACAAUUCUCAGUAAAUUUUAACUAGGCUAAUCUGAAAAAUGGAAGGCUCCGCAAUCUAAAUUGUGUAAAUACACAUUAGAAAAACAUACUUUAAAAGUUAAGUUAAAAGUGACAAUAAUUGUACAUUGUUUCUUUAGCUGCGUGCAAUGCUUUUAUAAUGCCAAAAAUUGGCACAAAAUCACAUAGGUCUGUCUAGCUUAGGGAUGUAGCAAUUCGCAAGAUUGACUGUUAAGACUUACUUUUGAUGUAACUGACACGGCGCGGGAAAAGAGCAGGUCGUGCCUCCUUCCCCCUGUUGGGGAUCCAGGGAGAAUUCCCUCAGUGUUGCUGUUCCAUACAGAUGCACUGCUAAGUUCUUAGUGAACAGCGUUGCCUUCUUUUUGACAUUGAUGCAUUCAAGAGGUCAUGUGUACCUUAGGCCACAUGUUGUGGCAACAAAAAAAGUUUGGAAGUAAAAUUGUACUAAUUGACGUACAUAUUGAUGACCUCUUUCCCUAUCUUCUUUUGACUUGGGCUGUUGUCUCUGCAAAGUCUUCAGUCUCUUCUGGGAAUAAUUGAAGCAAAGUGUCUUCAGAGUUCUCAAUCAAUCGGCCAUCAGAUACACAAUGGCUGCUGCCUCAUCACAACUCCAUGCAUUCAGGCGGUCAUGUGUCCCUUAGGUCACAUGUGGUGUUUUUGGUUGCUUUGAUGUACCAGGUAUUGGAGAGAAAUCCAUCAAGCGAGUCCAGAAUAAGCAAUCUUUAUAAAAGAGAAGGACAUGUUGAUAUAUUUUAGGGUUGGUUGGUCAGCUUACAUCUUCAUGCAAUGUAUGUUAUUGUUGGUUUCAUUGAUUGAAGUGGUAUGCAAAUGUAGUAAGUGAAAAUUAAUAAUAAAAGACUAUAUAACUCACGAUUUAGCUUUCUGCUGGACUACAAUGCCAACCCAGUGAUUUCUGUGGGGAAAAAAAGAAGCGGCACAGUUGUAUUGUUAAUGUUCAGAUACAAUUGACAACUUAAACACUAGAUCUAUGCAGUCAUUUUUUAACAAUGUAGGGAAAACACCAGGAAACAUACGAACUGCAUCCAAGAGAAUACAUGCAUCACAGAAGGAUGUUUGAAACAGUAUACACAAUCAAAAGUAUAUGUAGACAGGCCAGCAUGCAAGCCUGCAAGCUAGCAUUUUUUACAUCACAAAAUGUAGGGAUUAAGUGGACAAUCAAAUGAACAUCAAGCAAAUAUUUAAAAGCAACUAAACUAAGGUGUUUCCAUACAAGUCAUUGUCGGUUUACAAAACAUAGAAAUAAUAAUACAGAAAUUAAAAUACAGAAAUAUUCAAAAUACAGCAUUUCUUUUCACAAGUGGUACUUACAAAGUACAAACUGAUAAAAGUAGGUUGCCAGUCUGUUGGAUUCUUGAGGCAGUGAUGCCCACUGCUCGCAGAUGUUGCUUCAUCCUUGGGACAGCUUGGUGAUAUGGAAGUGUUUGCAGCCAGCUGUUUGGUUGCAAAAGCUGCCCAAUGAAGUAUGGUAGGAUGAAGGCAUCUGCCGCAUUUGUUGUCUUCAUGAAGUGUCUAAACACAAACCCAGAUAUUGUGAUGUAAGACAUACUUCUAAUGGAAAUGAGACUAUAAAUUAUCGAACUUAAUUAACUUAGAUGCAUUUUUAAUAGAUACUGUGUUUCAACCACUUCAUACAGGACAAUUUCUUAUAUUAACAAAGUACAAACUGGAAUCAGUAAGUUGCCGGUAUCUUGGAUGUGUGAUGCAGUGAUGCCUACAGCUCUUAAAUGCUCUUACAUCUGUGGAAUUGUUUGCUUACCUAGUAGUUUUGAUUGGGUACCAGUCUUAGAUUUACCUUCGUUGUGCCAAUGUCGUCUAUGAACUUUACAGACAUCUUGUUUGUUGCCUUGUAUGACGGUCUGUGGAACCCGUGGAGGCCACUGUCCCACACCGUUUUCCUGUUGAUGUUGAAUUUGGAAAUGUCAGCAGUCAUUUUAAAAUCUUGUUGUGAAGAAGUGCUUAAAUAUUCUACUUUGCUUGGGUUGUCUCUAAAAAGUCUUUAGUCCCUUCUGCUUAACUGAAACAAAGAUGUCUUCGGUUCUCAAUCAAUCAGGCCCUCAGAUACACAAUGGCUGCUGCCUCAUCACAACUCGAUGCAUUCAGGCGGUCAUGUGUCCCUUAGGUCACAUGUGGUGUUUUUGGUUGCUUUGAUGUACCAGGUAUUGGAGAGAAAUCCAUCAAGCGAGUCCAGAAUAAGCAAUCUUUAUAAAAGAGAAGAACAUGUUGAUAUAUUUUAGGGUUGGUUGGUCAGCUUACAUCUUCAUGCAAUGUAUGUUAUUGUUGCCAGUCUGUUGGAUUCUUGAGGCAGUGAUGCCCACUGCUCGCAGAUGUUGCUUCAUCCUUGGGACAGCUUGGUGAUAUGGAAGUGUUUGCAGCCAGCUGUUUGGUUGCAAAAGCUGCCCAAUGAAGUGUGGCAGGACACCGGCAUCGGCAUUUUUAGUGUUCAUGAAGUGUCUGAAACACAAACACAGAAUUUGUGAUGUAAGACAUACUUCUAAUUGAAAUGAAAAUAUAAAUUAUGAAACUUAAUUAAAGACGCAUUUGUGAUAGAUCAUUGUUACAAGCACUUCAUACAGGACAAUUUUUUAUAUUUAUAGGUUUUUUUCAAAAGUGGUAGGCCCUACUUACGAAGUAUAAACUGGUAAAAGUAGGUUGCCAGUGUGUUGGAUCCGUGAGGCAGUGAUGCCUACUGCACGUAGAUGUUCCUUCAUCCUUGGGAUAGCUUGGUGAUCCGGUAGUAUAUAUAGCCAGCUGUUAGGUUGCAAAAGCUGCCCAAUGAAGUAUGGCAGGAUGAAGGCAUCUGCCGCAUUUGUUGUCUUCAUGAAGUGUCUAAACACAAACCCAGAUAUUGUGAUGUAAGACAUACUUCUAAUGGAAAUGAGACUAUAAAUUAUCGAACUUAAUUAACUUAGAAGCAUUUUUAAUAGAUACUGUGUUUCAAGCACUUCAUACAGGACAAUUUCUUAUAUUUACGAAGUACAAACGGGAAUCAGUAAGUUGCUGGUAUCUUGGAUGUGUGAUGCAGUGAUGCCUACAGCUCUUAAAUGCUCUUACAUCUGUGGAAUUGUUUGCUUACCUAGUAGUCUUAAGUGGGUACCAGUCUUAGAUUUACCUCCGUUGUGCCAAUGUCUUCUAUGAACUUUACAGACAUCUUGUUUGUUGCCUUGUAUGACGGUCUGUGGAACCCGCGGAGGCCACUGUCCCACACCGUUUUCCUGUUGAUGUUGAAUUUGGAGAUUUCAGCAGUCAUUUUAAAAUCUUGUUGUGAAGAAGUGCUUAAAUAUUCUACUUUUUCUUCCCUCUUUACACAAAGAGAGAGUUACAUACUAUUUCCCUCGCCCAAUUUAUUUCGGCAUCAACUCUGAAUUUCACGAACAUUUCAUUGUUCCUUGCUCUUAGAGUGCCAACAUAAAAGUUUGGAAGUAAAUAUUGUACUCAUUUAAUACAAAUGUACAUGUACAUGCAUUGUGAGGACUUCUUCCCUAUCUUCUUUUGACUUGGGCUGUUGUCUCUAAAAAGUCUUCAGUCUCUUCUGGGAAUAAUUGAAGCAAAAAUAUCUUCAGAGUUCUCAAUCAAUCGGCCCUCAGAUACACAAUGGCUGCUGCCUCAUCACAACUCGAUGCAUUCAGGCGGUCAUGUGUACCCUAGGCCGCAUGCUGUGUUGUUAGUUGCUUUGAUGUACCAGGUAUUGGUUAACUUUCUCACAUUGUGCCCAAUAUCUGGUACUGGAUAAGCCUUUUACAGUCUUACAGUGAGUCCUGACUUUGCAACUGAUAAAAAAAACAUAGAUAACAGACACAGGUUUCACACUGGAAACAUUCUAACAAAAUGGACAUCAAGAUGUACAUGUACAAUCUUGGUGACUUGAUUUCACAAUGAGAAAUUUAAAAAGAAGUCAAAGUUUAACUCUUAACCAUGAACUCUCUGAGAUUUUAUUCCGAGGGUAACAUGACUAUAGUGAACAAGAAUCCCUGUGUAAAUUAUUUCCUUUCUGCCAGCGUUUGUUGCUCAACUGUUGUCUGGUCCUGAUUGUCUAGUCUCUUCAAGACCAGUGCUUGAUACUGUGUCUCUAGACGCAGCAUCAGCAACCUUCUUCUAACUCUAGGCAUCUUAUGUUGGCAUCAUUUCUUAUUGAGUACUUCUCUUUUUUCUGUCUUCUUAUUCAGCCACUUUAUAUUACACCUUUUACACCCUGAUGACAAAAGUUGAGUACAGAGGCACUGAGGGCUCAGUGGUGUCAAUUCUUCAAAUCAUUAGUCACUGGUUUAAUACAUUCAAUGCCACACAUUAUAUUUAAGGGUUGAUUUCAUUGUGAUUUUGAAGUAAUAAUACUAGGGACCCUACAUCAUUAAAAAAAACCUCGAAACCUGUUGUGUUUCAAUUGAAAGUAGAAGUAAAUCUUAAAGCUCAUGGCUGUUUGAAUUUUGGAAACGGACAAGGGGUUGAUGAGAUAUUGUUUUGAAGGUUCUUUCCAAAGGUACCUUUGGAUCACCUUUGUGUGGGAAAACUUUGACAAAAAUUGGGGUGGCUUUGACUUUUUUUAUUGCCAGGAAUACCCCGAUCUAUCCCGAAUAAAAAUUCUUGAUGAUAUCAGGAGAAAUUAUCCCCAAUUCGCUGUUUGUAAGAAUAACUUAAGAAUGAAACAAAAAUAAUCAAGAACUAGGUACGAAUUGGAAGCCGAAUCAGACCAAAUAAGCCAAAUUAUUGCGAUUCAGUGCAGAAUAAAAUUUAUUUAGUGCGAUUUUGUCAAAAAUAAGACACGAAAAAACUCCAGAAUCAUCAAGAAUGACCCAGAAUUAUGCCGAUGUAGUGUAUUUGUAAGCUAUUCUUAUAAUAUUUGUACAUUUCUUGCAACAUUCGUAAUGACUAUGCAUGAUUUUGGAAUCACAAAGAAUAACAGUAACUCUAAUAAAGUUGUAAGAAUACUGUACGAAUAUUUAGAGUGCUGUAAGAAUAUCCAGAAUUACAUUUAGGAUUGAACACAACAAGAAUAAACCAAGAAUUGAAAUUGGUUCCCGAAUCACCCCGAGAAUUGUGAACAUGUCCAAAAUUGUCGGGGCGCUUCCCGAUCUUUAACAAUCUUUCACGGAACUAACAGAAUCAUCCCGAAGCAGCCAAGAACCAUUGCCCGAUUUUUACUCAAGAAUUGCUAUUGGCGGCGAUCUUGCUUAAACAUGUGCACCUGGUGCAGACCCCUGUUUAGGUGUAAAAUAUUUGAUUCAGGCAGUCUGAAAUUGGGACACAAAGCCUGAGAUAUGCCCUUGUUCAAAUGAUAAGAUAUCGAAUUGGGCACUUUGUGAUUGUGAUCACUUGUUAAUACAUGGAAACAGCAAUAAAUAACAAUAUUAGAAAACCAUGGAGCAGGCACUUUUCAUUUGAUAAGUAAAGUUUGUAUUACAGAGUUGUGUUCAAAAAUGUUACAUAUUAAGACUUCGGUGAAACUAUUACACACUCAGUAUAUUCCAAAUUAUGAUAAAUUUGUUUACUACUUUCUGUUAUGUAAACUGAGUUUUAAAUGAGUAAUCAAAAUAAAAUUGCCAAUUGCCAAUGCUCAUUAA
Molecule: long non-coding RNA, 6824 nt
Filed under: Patiria miniata (bat star)
Lineage: Eukaryota; Metazoa; Echinodermata; Asteroidea; Valvatida; Asterinidae
Description: uncharacterized LOC119728641, transcript variant X1
Source: RNAcentral